CCGGAUACUGGCAAGUUCGGAUCAAGGAGGGAGACGAAGCAAAGACUACAAUGGUAACCAGAUAUGGAGCCUUUGAAUUUAAAGUGAUGUCUUUUGGUUUGACAAACGCUCCAGCAACGUUUUGUACUAUGAUGAAUCAGGUACUUCACGGGUUCUUAAAUGAUUUUGUCGUGGUGUACUCGGACGACAUGGUAAUCUACAGCGAGACAUUGGAGGAACAUGUCCAACAUGUGAGGCAAGUUUUUAAUCAGCUACGGGAAAAUGAACUAUAUGCCAAACCGUCUAAAUGCUCAUUUGCUCAGACAUCUAUCAGUUUCUUGGAUCACAUCAUUGAACAAGGUAAAAUCCGCAAAGAUUUGACGGAGGUUACAACCAUCAAAGAUUGGCAACCACCAAAAACCAUACAUGAUAUACAUUCAUUUCUUGGGUUAUGCAAUUACUAUCGAAAAUUUGUGAAAGGCUACUCAGAAUUGCACUGCCACUUAUCGAAUUGACAAAGAAGGAUAAGGAUUGGUAUUGGUCAUCCCAAUGCCAAAAUUGCUUUUGAAAGGUUGAAGAAGUCCAUGUAGACGAAUCGAUUUUAGUCUCAUCGGAUAUGACUAAACCAUUUGAAGUUCAUACAGAUGCUUCAGAUUUUACACUUGGUGGAGUCCUCAUGCAAAAAGGACAUCUGGUAGCAUAUGAGAGCCGGAAGUUAAACCAAACAGAACAUCGUUACUCGACACAUGAAAAGGAAUUGUUGGUAGUAGUCCAUUGUCUCAGAGGAUGGCGUCACUAUUUGCUUGGGUCUCUAUUUAUUGUGAAGACAGAUAACAUUGCAGUUUGUCAUUUCAUGUCCCAACCAAAACUAUCGAGCAAGCAGACUCGUUGGCAUGAAUUUCUUUCAGAGUUCAAUUUUAUGCUAGAGUAUCGUCUCAAAUCUAGUAAUCAUGUUGCUGAUGCUCUUAGUCAACAGGCCGGUUUGGUUGCCAUUUGCUCCGUAGCUGCUCUUUCAGGGUGCGCCAUCUCCACGAACACAAGAAACCAAAUUCGGGCACUUAUGGAGAAGGACCCGGCUACUUAGUUGACAUCAUCAAGCAGGGUAAAACUUGACAGUUCUGGCUCGAUGGGGAACUAGUGAAGACAAAGGGAGACCGCCUAUAUGUUCCUAAGGGCGGAGAUUUGAGGAAAUCACUAAUUACAGAAUGCCAUGACACGAUUUGGGCAGGGCAUCCCGGAGAGGAACGCACUUGUGCACUACUGCAACGUGCAUACUACUGGCCUCAAAUGCGGGACGACA
This 1279-nucleotide long non-coding RNA is filed under the name Olea europaea subsp. europaea. Lineage: Eukaryota; Viridiplantae; Streptophyta; Magnoliopsida; Lamiales; Oleaceae. The record is from RNAcentral.